GAGGAUGGGCCAUAGCUCAGUCGCAGAACAUCUCCUUUGUGUGCAGAAGGUCCCAGGUUCAAUCCCCAGCGUCUUCA
Non-coding RNA from Podarcis lilfordi (Lilford's wall lizard), 77 nucleotides. Lineage: Eukaryota; Metazoa; Chordata; Lepidosauria; Squamata; Lacertidae. The record is from the annotation of a GenBank genome assembly.